CGCCUGGGGAGUACGGCCGCAAGGUUAAAACUCAAAUGAAUUGACGGGGGCCCGCACAAGCGGUGGAGCAUGUGGUUUAAUUCGAUGCAACGCGAAGAACCUUACCUGGUCUUGACAUCCACAGAACCUUGUAGAGAUACGAGGGUGCCUUCGGGAACUGUGAGACAGGUGCUGCAUGGCUGUCGUCAGCUCGUGUUGUGAAAUGUUGGGUUAAGUCCCGCAACGAGCGCAACCCUUAUCCUUUGUUGCCAGCGGUCCGGCCGGGAACUC
This 270-nucleotide ribosomal RNA is filed under the name Escherichia coli. RNAcentral's name for it is "partial 16S ribosomal RNA". It matches the Rfam family "Bacterial small subunit ribosomal RNA", at positions 870 to 1140 of the family's 1533-position model. Lineage: Bacteria; Pseudomonadati; Pseudomonadota; Gammaproteobacteria; Enterobacterales; Enterobacteriaceae. The record is from RNAcentral.